GGGGACGUUUAUGGAUUCGACGGGGGUAGUUUGGGCAUAGGUAGCGAGUAGUGGGGACGCGUCCGCUUUAUCAACGCUAAAGCCUAUUAAACGGCAAAACUCAAAACAACUACGCUUUAGCAGCCUAAGAACUGUCGGCGUGCUUCUCCUCAGCAUCGUCCAUGUGACUGAGACAGGGGCUCAACAGUAGUGGAAUACGCUAACCCAUCUCCGCCUGCGGUGGGCUGAAGAAGACAAUCAGGCUGACCCAAAGAGUAGUCGGUUACAGGACGACACUAGGGUGACAUCAAAUCUGUAACUACACUCGUAGAAGCAUAUGUUGCGAUACCUUCGGACAGGGGUUCGACUCCCCUCGUCUCCACCA
This 364-nucleotide transfer-messenger RNA is filed under the name Paenibacillus psychroresistens. It matches the Rfam family "transfer-messenger RNA". Rfam says of the family: Bacterial tmRNA, also known as 10Sa RNA or SsrA, is named for its dual tRNA and mRNA-like properties. Its role is to liberate the mRNA from a stalled ribosome. To accomplish this part of the tmRNA is used as a reading frame that ends in a translation stop signal. RNAcentral also lists the same sequence under 1 other name. Lineage: Bacteria; Bacillati; Bacillota; Bacilli; Caryophanales; Paenibacillaceae. The record is from Rfam by way of RNAcentral.